Molecule: long non-coding RNA, 1330 nt
Filed under: Marmota monax (woodchuck)
Lineage: Eukaryota; Metazoa; Chordata; Mammalia; Rodentia; Sciuridae
Source: RNAcentral
AAAAUUAAUAAAUGCAGUCUUAGAGUUUUAUUAACUUCUCUUCCAGUAGGUGGAGCUGUGCCCACCGGGCCAAGCUUCUCCUCUCAAUACGCGGGAACCAAUCACUGUGCCGCAGCUCCUCCUCCCAGACUGGGCGGGUCUCCAAUCCUGAGUGCCUAGGGCGUUUUCUUGUGUCUAGUCACUUCCCCACCUUUCCUCAAGCCAGGCCCUGCUCACCGGUGACGUUCACCACGAUACUGGCUACACACCAGGUCUGCUGCUCCCGGGAGCCCUGUUUUCAUGAACGACUGGGCACACUCUCCCUGUUUGCCAUUCCCUCAGACCCUAACUUUGUAGAGCUUGGGGCUGAGAACCCUCAGCGAAUUUUGCUAGCCCUCCGGUAGCCACGCCCCCAGUAGCUGGUGCAAGAGACCUCAGUUGUCAGCACUGGUGGGAGCGGUAGCCGGGAGUUCCACGCCGCAGGUCCCGCGCCACUCCUGAUUCCCUUGGUCUGGCUAUCGCGCUCACGGGAGAGCUGGGAGGGGCCCUUAAGGUUUCCCCGCUGUGUGGAGAUGGAAGGCUAGGGGAUUACACACCUGUCGCCACUGGUUUCAAUGAAGUUAUCUCCUCCACCGCAUUCUGGUGACAUCAGUUCUCUGCCAUGGUGGCAUCCCAUACAAAUGGCGACCGUUCAUUCCCUUUGCCGGCUGACCAAUGCAACGCGUGGGUCCUGAGUGUCUCUCCCAAGCCCCGUUUCAAUUCUGUGGCCACUGCCUAUGAAGGCUCGGUUGGCAUUAACCUCCGUAGGAUCAGAAGGUCCAACCAGUUGUUUCAGCGGGAUCGUUUAGUGCUGAGUCACAGCAGUUUGUCUGCGAGAAGCAGGCGAACGGGAGCUUGAAUUCAGCCGAUCCGGGCUCGGUGUGUGUUCUGAGAGGCCCAGACUGUUCGCCCCAGAUCCACGUCAGCUCAGCAUUGCCUAGUGAUCCUGAGCAAACAGCAUUUAGACGGUUUACGACUUCCUAUGCCCGUGCAGCUGAAGAGGUCAGAGACUUGAUCUCGCCCGCCGCCAUGUUGGAUCUGUUUGUAUUUAAAUGUGUCGAGAAAAAAGAAAAAACUUUAGAAAUCCCAUACACACCCAGAAUUAGUCCUCCAGGGAUCAGAAUCAUCUAAACUUAUGCUGUGUGGUACACACUGGAUAUUUGUAUCAGUUUUGGGCAUAGUCAGGGAAUAGUCCACUUCCAGUUUGGAGAAAGGGACUAUUUUGUUAACAGUCUCAACAAACCUGCAUUCCCAUCAUAUUCCCCACUUCCUACCCACAACUACCUCUUAUCACACUGGCUUUAGUUUCCAC